RNAcentral lists this ribosomal RNA (301 nucleotides) under uncultured bacterium. Its description in RNAcentral is "partial 16S ribosomal RNA". It matches the Rfam family "Bacterial small subunit ribosomal RNA", at positions 509 to 807 of the family's 1533-position model. The record is from RNAcentral.
CAGCAGCCACGGUAAUACGGAGGAUCCGAGCGUUAUCCGGAUUUAUUGGGUUUAAAGGGUGCGUAGGCGGCCUUGUAAGUCAGGGGUGAAAGACGGUAGCUUAACUAUCGCAGUGCCCUUGAUACUGCAGGGCUUGAAUGUACUUGAGGUAGGCGGAAUGUGACAAGUAGCGGUGAAAUGCAUAGAUAUGUCACAGAACACCAAUUGCGAAGGCAGCUUACUAAAGUAUGAUUGACGCUGAGGCACGAAAGCGUGGGGAUCAAACAGGAUUAGAUACCCCCGUAGUCCCUGUCUCUUAUAC